GAAGACUGUCUGUUAUUCCAGACUUGCCUGCAGUGCUACAGAAAUCCAGCCUCUCCCCAAGGAGCUUCCAUGUUUGUUGUUGGGCUAAAGUGAAUGCUGUCCAGACUGUGAAGUGAUAUUGAAAUCUUUCCACAGUUUCACACUGAGGCGCAAUAAUACAGGUCUUUGUUGUAUAGAGCAGCACUUUCAACUCUAAGUUGCAUUUCCUUGAAGCUGGGGGAGAGAGGGUCCUGGCUCAGAGGCCUGUAGCCUCACUCACAGCAGGAGGGUGAGUAGAAACAAAAUUCCUAUUAGAGACAGCUUAAAUGGGAACACACUUCAUUUUGCAGAAAACACCUUCUAGAACUUGCUUAAUAGAGGGCACCUUUGCAGUCAAUCAUCCCAGAAGAGUUUCAAAUUGGAUAAAAAAGUGGGGGACACAGAUUAAGGUUAGGGCUAGAGGUUGUGUAUUACAUCUCCAAGUGCUUAUAUAAUUACAUUGUGGUGGUUUUUAGUUGGAAGCUUGUAGAUCAUAGAGGACUCGUUUACUGGUUCUUUUGAAGCAUUGUGGGAAUGAGGACAUGCAGGUCCUGGCACAUGCUCCUGUCAAGCAGAGGACAGCACAUUUUUAUGCCUAGGUUCUAGUCACACAAGUGCUACGAUAUGAAAGGGUGCAGGAGACAAUCUGAAGGACGUCAGAAUGGGAAAAUUUCCAGGCAAACUUGUCUUGGCACACAACAGCUGUAGACACUUCGUCAGAUUUUUAAAAGCCACUUCUCUCUGAUACUUCCCUUCCACUAUGGAAGCCCAGCUGAGUAUUUUCCCUGCUGAGUGGGAGGGUAAGGGAGAGCUCAAGAUUAGCACAGGCUUUAUGCAGAACUGUAAUAUAGGUUGCAGCCUGUGUGUGGUUUCAGUGCUUUGGCCUGUCUGAACCACCAGGCACGUCACCUCUCCAGAUAAAACUCCCCCACAGAAAUAGCUCCCUGCUCUUUAAACAGAGCUCCCCCAGCAUGAUCUCUCUCUCAGUGUCAUCUAGAAUAUAAUGAUUCUAAUAUUUACUUAACUCAGGGCCGGGAUUUAUGGACGUUAAUGUGUGCUAAUAUUUCUAGAAGUCCUAUGUUCUAAUAGCAUUUCUAGAAAAUGGUAUUUAUUUUUUUAAAAGAUAAAUAAACCCAAGAUGAGAUUGAUGGAAAAUAUUUGUUCCUCUAGGAAGAUUCACAAUCCCCCAUAUCUCCUGGGUUAGAGGCUGCCACCAAAGCUGGCCUGUGAGUGUUUCCUGUCAGGCACUUGCCACCUGUCAAUGAGGUCACUCAGGAAACUGUCCCCACCUCCUAGUUCAGUGGUGAGGUGAGCCCUGUGUGCAGCCUCAUGUGAGUUAGUGUACACAUACCAUUAUACACUAAUUCAUGACGGUCAGCUCUUUGAUUGGUUGCUGAAAGGAUCUUAGUAAAUACAUUUGAAAAACACAUGAAUAAUGUUAAAGAUCUCAGGACCUAUAGGAAUAUGAUAGGUUAGGGGAAAGCCAGGUAGUAUGUAAAGGCCAGAUGGUAUUUCCUGAUGUCUCCUACUUAGUUGUUUUCUAAGCCUCAAAAGUCCUGCUAAUGAACUUCUGAAAAUACCGCUCGAAAAUAACAGAUUUCAAGAAUCCCUUAAGUGCAUUAGAAGCCCCUUCAGCAUUAGAGGUAAAUGGUUAAAGAACAUAACCUUGAUCUGCUCUGGUCAUAAGUACUUUCAACACACAGAAAAUAUUCCUCAAGUGCUCUUGUGUCUCCGUUUUAUCCAGUGACAGGGUCUAUGCUUUCUAUGUUGAAAUAAUACUUCUUACCAAAAAAUGGUGCAUAAAACAGAAAAUAAAAUAAAAUAUCCCCAUGGCCACAGCCAUAGCACAAAUCUUCAAGAAGGAAAAAACAGAGAAGCAUUUCAGUGGUACUUAGGUAUGUAAAAUGUAGGAGUUUUGGUGCAGUGUGCUAUAGGCACCGUAAGAACAGUGGCAGGGCCCAGAGAGUUAUGUGAACUUGGAGGAAAUGGAUUAGAAUACAAGUGGAUAAAAAACUCAGCCUCCCAGAGCGUGCAGGGAAGACUCUGCUGGGUUAACACCAGCAGAGGAAAGGAAACCUGUCCCCUGCCAAAGAGUAUGCUGUUGACCAUGAGCAUAGAGUCUUGGGGAAUUCCUAGUGAGGUUUGCAGUUUAUGCAGAGCUUCCCUCUGUAACAGAGGUGGGCAGUGUCAGUGUGGCUAAGGUCUGUGUUGCUCUGUAAAUGUCCUUCAGUCACUCUCUGCCCCCACCCUUGUUUUUUUCUUCCUUCUUUUGUUUUUAUCAUUUCCUCCUCUAUCUUUUUAUCUCUUUGCCUUCUCUCUUGGUUUCCCAGUGCUUCAGUUGAUAACUAUCUACGGAAGUGGUAUACUACAAAUAACAUAGUACAUAAAACCCAGUCAGAAACUCUUAACUGUAGCUCUCUUUCGAUACAUGUUUCACACAUACACAGGUGCUGGCUGCUUUUAUGUCAACUUGACACAGUGAGAUUCAUCUGAGAGAAGGGAGCCUCAAUUGAGAAAAAUGGCCCCAUAAGCUCUGUCUCUGUAAACAAGACUGGAGGGCGUUUUCUUCUUUAGUGAUUGAUGGGAGAGGGCCCAACCUAGUGUGUGUGUGCAGCUCAUGGACCGGUGAUCUUGCUGAGGGGUUAGAAGACAGCAGGAGGAGCAAGCCACGAGGAACAAGCCAGUAAACAGCACUCCUCCAUGGCUUCUUCACCAGUUCUUGCCUUUGGGUUUCUGCCCUGCUUGAGUUCCUGCCCUGACUUCCCUUGAUAAUGAACUGUAAAGUAGAAGUAAAUAAAAUUAAAAAAUAAGUUAAAAAAUAAUAAAGAAGGAAAUAAACUCUUUUUUUCCAAAGUUGCUUAUUUGCAUGGCAUUUUAA
This is a long non-coding RNA of Apodemus sylvaticus (European woodmouse), 2896 nucleotides long. RefSeq lists it as uncharacterized. NCBI's taxonomy places the organism in Eukaryota, Metazoa, Chordata, Mammalia, Rodentia, Muridae. The record is from RefSeq and is a predicted model, not a curated record. The transcript is spliced from 2 exons.